Molecule: ribosomal RNA, 497 nt
Filed under: uncultured bacterium
Lineage: Bacteria
Description: partial 16S ribosomal RNA
Rfam family: Bacterial small subunit ribosomal RNA
Source: RNAcentral
GAUGAACGCUGGCGGCGUGCCUAAUACAUGCAAGUCGAGCGAACGGACGAGAAGCUUGCUUCACUGAUGUUAGCGGCGGACGGGUGAGUAACACGUGGAUAACCUACCUAUAAGACUGGGAUAACUUCGUGAAACCGGAGCUAAUACCGGAUAAUAUUUUGAACCGCAUGGUUCAAAAGUGAAAGAUGGUCUUGCUGUCACUUAUAGAUGGAUCCGCGCUGCAUUAGCUAGUUGGUAAGGUAACGGCUUACCAAGGCAACGAUGCAUAGCCGACCUGAGAGGGUGAUCAGCCACACUGGAACUGAGACACGGUCCAGACUCCUACGGGAGGCAGCAGUAGGGAAUCUUCGGCAAUGGGCGAAAGCCUGACGGAGCAACGCCGCGUGAGUGAUGAAGGUCUUCGGAUCGUAAAACUCUGUUAUUAGGGAAGAACAUAUGUGUAAGUAACUGUGCACAUCUUGACGGUACCUAAUCAGAAAGCCACGGCUAACUACGUG